This 428-nucleotide ribosomal RNA is filed under the name Oxycheilinus digramma (cheeklined wrasse). Its description in RNAcentral is "partial 12S ribosomal RNA". It matches the Rfam family "Bacterial small subunit ribosomal RNA", at positions 308 to 945 of the family's 1533-position model. The record is from RNAcentral. Lineage: Eukaryota; Metazoa; Chordata; Actinopteri; Labriformes; Labridae.
CUAGCUAGGAACCUUGUUAAGCCAACCCCAAGGGCAUCAGCAGUGACAAACAUAAGCCACGAGUGAAAACUUGACUUAGUUAAGGAUAAGAGGGCCGGUCAAUUUCGUGCCAGCCACCGCGGUUAUACGAGAGGCCCAAGUUGAUAGACCUCGGCAUAAAGUGUGGUUAAGGGUUAACUCAAACUAAAGUCGAAGACUUUCAGAGCUGUUAUACGCAAAUGAAAGAUUGAAGCCCAACUACGAAAGUAGCUUUAAAUUACCCUGACGCCACGGAAGCUACGAAACAAACUGGGAUUAGAUACCCCACUAUGCGUAGCCGUAAACAUUGAUAGCACCACAUAUUAACUAUCCGCCCGGGAACUACGAGCGAAAGCUUAAAACCCAACGGACUUGGCGGUGCUUUAGACCCCCCUAGAGGAGCCUGUUCU